RNAcentral lists this ribosomal RNA (308 nucleotides) under Mabuya sp. NRPS-2014. RNAcentral's name for it is "partial 12S ribosomal RNA". Lineage: Eukaryota; Metazoa; Chordata; Lepidosauria; Squamata; Scincidae. The record is from RNAcentral.
CUUGGCGGUGCCCCACAUCAACCUAGAGGAGCCUGUCCUAUAAUCGAUAAUCCACGNUGUACCUUACCAUUUCUAGCNAACUCNNGCCUAUAUNCCGCCGUCGAAAGCUUACCUUAUGAAAGAAACAAAGUAAGCAAAAUAGUUAACAACUAAAACGUCAGGUCAAGGUGUAGCACAUGAAAUGGCAGAGAUGGGCUACAUUUUCUACCNCUAGAAAACACGAACAGCACAAUGAAACCUGUCCUCAAAGGCGGAUUUAGCAGUAAGGUAAAAAAGAANCUCUACCUUAAACCCGCUCUGGGGCGCGC